CGCAAGGGGAAAUCGUCGCUCUUUUGUAUAGUAUAAGUUUGAUGCGGGUUACUACUUGUAGUAUUGCCUGCACAUUCUUGUAUAUUUAGUUGCAAGAUGUUGUCGGCGUGCACUUCUCCCCUAGUAGGACGUCGCGACCUGUUGGGUGUCGGUCUACGGCCCAAGUGAUAGCCUUUAAUGUAAUUUAAAAAACAUUGAAGAUCCUUGGUGUUUUCUGACCGGCUACUUGGCAGUAUUCGUACGGUAUUUAGCCGCUAAAUUUAUUAAGCGUCCAUAUCCAUCACAAGCGAGGCUAAUUUACUGAUAGUACGGACUAGUGCCGUCGUUGGUAUUGGCCAGCUGUUGGUUGAUGGUAU
Molecule: ribosomal RNA, 356 nt
Filed under: Aleiodes sp. HD-191
Lineage: Eukaryota; Metazoa; Arthropoda; Insecta; Hymenoptera; Braconidae
Description: eukaryotic LSU rRNA
Source: RNAcentral